Molecule: ribosomal RNA, 245 nt
Filed under: uncultured bacterium
Lineage: Bacteria
Description: partial 16S ribosomal RNA
Rfam family: Bacterial small subunit ribosomal RNA
Source: RNAcentral
UACAGAGGUGGCGAGCGUUGUUCGGAUUUACUGGGCGUAAAGGGCGCGUAGGCGGUCUCGUGUGUCGGAUGUGAAAUCCCGUCGCUCAACGACGGAACGCCAUUCGAAACUGCGGGACUCGAGGGCAGGAGAGGAGAGCGGAACUCUUGGUGUAGCGGUGAAAUGCGUUGAUAUCAAGAAGAACACCAGUGGCGAAGGCGGCUCUCUGGAAUGCUACUGACGCUGAGGCACGAAAGCGUGGGGAG